RNAcentral lists this ribosomal RNA (415 nucleotides) under uncultured Pseudomonas sp. RNAcentral's name for it is "bacterial SSU rRNA". It matches the Rfam family "Bacterial small subunit ribosomal RNA", at positions 107 to 518 of the family's 1533-position model. Lineage: Bacteria; Pseudomonadati; Pseudomonadota; Gammaproteobacteria; Pseudomonadales; Pseudomonadaceae. The record is from RNAcentral.
UGAGUAAUGCCUAGGAAUCUGCCUGGUAGUGGGGGACAACGUUUCGAAAGGAACGCUAAUACCGCACACGUCCUACGGGAGAAAGCAGGGGACCUUCGGGCCUUGCGCUAUCAUAUGAACCUAGGUCGGAUUAACUAGUUGGUGGGGUAAUGGCUCACCAAGGCGACCAUCCGUAACUGGUCUGAGAGGAUGAUCAGUCACACUGGAACUGAGACACGGUCCAGACUCCUACCGGAGGCAGCAGUGGGGAAUAUUGGACGAUGGGCGAAAGCCUGAUCCAGCCAUGCCGCGUGUGUGAAGAAGGUCUUCCGAUUGUAAAGCACUUUAAGUUGGGAGGAAGGGCAGUAAGUUAAUACCUUGCUGUUUUGACGUUACCGACGGAAUAAGCACCGGCUAACUCUGUGCCAGCAGCCGC